UGCACCAGUCCACUCGGAUCAAUCAUUUGUUAAAUGUAUGUCUUAGAAGUCAAUCUUGACUAACGCAUUCAUUUCUCUAAGAUAUAUUUUUAUACUUGAUGGGCAGUUUUUAUUAUUAAUCAUGUAGUAUAUAUCCAUGAUUUAUCCUAAAAGUUAACAAAGAUGAUUUUUGUAUAUUCUUGAGGUGUUGAAAAUUUGAGAUAUACAUCAUUAGUGGUUAAUUUCUAAAUACUCUUGAUCAUAGGAUC
This 248-nucleotide long non-coding RNA is filed under the name Elaeis guineensis (African oil palm). RNAcentral describes it as "long non-coding RNA (EGUI_LNC036972)". The record is from RNAcentral. Lineage: Eukaryota; Viridiplantae; Streptophyta; Magnoliopsida; Arecales; Arecaceae.